Molecule: ribosomal RNA, 497 nt
Filed under: uncultured bacterium
Lineage: Bacteria
Description: partial 16S ribosomal RNA
Rfam family: Bacterial small subunit ribosomal RNA
Source: RNAcentral
GAUGAACGCUGGCGGCGUGCCUAAUACAUGCAAGUCGAGCGAACAGACGAGGAGCUUGCUCCUCUGACGUUAGCGGCGGACGGGUGAGUAACACGUGGAUAACCUACCUAUAAGACUGGGAUAACUUCGGGAAACCGGAGCUAAUACCGUAUAAUAUAUUGAACCGCAUGGUUCAAUAGUGAAAGACGGUUUUGCUGUCACUUAUAGAUGGAUCCGCGCCGCAUUAGCUAGUUGGUAAGGUAACGGCUUACCAAGGCAACGAUGCGUGGCCGAACUGAGAGGGUGAUCGGCCACACUGGAACUGAGACACGGUCCAGACUCCUACGGGAGGUAGCAGUAGGGAAUCUUCCGCAAUGGGCGAAAGCCUGACGGAGCAACGCCGCGUGAGUGAUGAAGGUCUUCGGAUCGUAAAACUCUGUUAUUAGGGAAGAACAAAUGUGUAAGUAACUAUGCACGUCUUGACGGUACCUAAUCAGAAAGCCACGGCUAACUACGUG